This 469-nucleotide ribosomal RNA is filed under the name uncultured bacterium. Its description in RNAcentral is "partial 16S ribosomal RNA". It matches the Rfam family "Bacterial small subunit ribosomal RNA", at positions 28 to 507 of the family's 1533-position model. The record is from RNAcentral.
GACGAACGCUGGCGGCGUGCUUAACACAUGCAAGUCGAACGGAAAGGCCCUGCUUGCAGGGUGCUCGAGUGGCGAACGGGUGAGUAACACGUGGGUGAUCUGCCCCUUACUUUGGGAUAAGCCUGGGAAACUGGGUCUAAUACUGGAUAGGACCAUGCUGUAGGUGGUGUGGUGGAAAGAUUAGUUUCGGUAAGGGAUGAGCUCGCGGCCUAUCAGCUUGUUGGUGGGGUAAUGGCCUACCAAGGCGUCGACGGGUAGCCGGCCUGAGAGGGUGGACGGCCACAUUGGGACUGAGAUACGGCCCAGACUCCUACGGGAGGCAGCAGUGGGGAAUAUUGCACGAUGGGCGCAAGCCUGAUGCAGCGACGCCGCGUGGGGGAUGACGGCCUUCGGGUUGUAAACUCCUUUCAGCCAUGACGAAGCCCUUGUGGUGACGGUAGUGGUAGAAGAAGCACCGGCUAACUACGUG